This is a long non-coding RNA of Solanum pennellii, 2610 nucleotides long. RefSeq lists it as uncharacterized. NCBI's taxonomy places the organism in Eukaryota, Viridiplantae, Streptophyta, Magnoliopsida, Solanales, Solanaceae. The record is from RefSeq and is a predicted model, not a curated record. The transcript has 2 exons.
UGCUCUAUCGGUUCCUAUCCCUUUAAACGUCCCUUCAACCUUUUUCUGUCCUUUUCUAUUCGCCUCCUCUAUUUUCUCUUCUCUCCAUAAAACCCUCUCUUCUUUUUUCUUUUUUUCUUACUUGUCCUUUAUUUUUUUUUCUUUUACCAUGACUAAAACUCGUUCAUGUCUUCUGUCAAAGGCUCCGAUCCUAGUCCUUCUCUUACCCUUUGAUGUUCUUUCCCUUUCCUCUGAUGAAUCAUGAGAAUCCCCUUAUGUGUCAUCUAAGAGUAAUCUUACUACUUCAAGUUCGAAGACUUUGAACAAAAGCGCUACCUAGUUCUCUGGAACUCUCUCUCCUGGAGAUAUGCAUCAAUUUUGGGGAAUAGAUCACAAAAAUAGUUAUGAACAGUUCAAAUUUCAUCCCAUUUGUGUCUGGACGAGUGUAAAUCUCAGCCAACUGCGUGACUCAAUUUGUCCAGUAAGCCCCUUUCUUAAAGCUCAGUCAUUAUUUUUGCUUCUGGUGAGCCCGUUUCUUAAAGCUCAUAAACUAUCAUUAUUUUUGCUUUGUGUGGCCUUAAAUGUUUGAAAAAGCUAUUUGACUGUUUUACGCUAAUCUCUGUAUCUCCACUGACAAUUGUUCUAGGUAAUCGUUUGGUUAUUAGUGAACCUUUCUUUGAAGGUGUUUUUGGUACAAAAUUCUUUGGUGUUAUAGGUACGUGAAUGUCACUUGGCCUAAUGAAUUUGAGGUGACUCUUGAAGGUGCUAACGACUCUGUGGCUAAACCCAAAAUGUUAUCUAUAUGACUUUGGUGCCAUGUCACUUUGUUUUGAAAAAUAUAUUUUGGCUCAUAUUGUUGCAACUAUUCUACUGCCUAGGAAUGACUCCCUAAGCGAUAUUUCCAAUAGGGAUAUGUUUGUCCUUUACUGUUUGCUCAAAAAAUACAAGAUCAACUGGGCACAAUUGUUUAAAAAUUAUAUGUAGGGAAGUGUUGAGGAAUUAAACCCGUCUUCUAGUUUGUCGCAUGGGUUUCUCAUAUCUCAUAUACUAGUGGACCGACUCAUUGAUCUUACCAAAUACAAACCUAUUAUGAUUAACUCAACCUACGACUCCCGAAAAAACUCAAGUAUGAGUUAUGUAGAGGUAGACAACAUUUGGGUAAAGAAGGACUCUGCCCAAUAACGGGUUAAAGCAAAAAAACCAACGAAGAUCUCUGUAUACUAAAUCACUCUUCUGCUUAAGGACCCAAAGAUCUCAAAAUUCGUAUCGUGGCUAUGAAACGUGGACUAGAGACCCUUCCUGAUGCUGUUGGAAAAGUGUUUCGCCUUCAGAAAGAUACCAACACUGAUAUCGGAAUGUGGAACAUUUUUACAACUCUUUCAGUGAGGGUCAUCAACUCUCUGAAAUAUUGUUGGGGUUCCAAGCGCUAGACUCUUGGUGAGAUCUAUCUUUUACUCUCUCUUUUGGACAAUUUCUAUAGGGUCAUGUCCCUAUUUGUCUUAGACUAUAAAUUGAAGGCUCCUAGACUUCUUACCGGUUUUCUUAUAUCUAGACUAUCAUUUGUGUUUUCUCUGUUUGUCUUUUUGACUAUGUCAAAGGGGGAGAAUGGUUCUGGUUUAAACAGACCAGGUCCAAGUUCAGGCCCAAGUUUUGACUGUCUAGGUUCAUUAAUUUAAUAGGCCUUCAAAUCAGGGGGAGCUCCACAUGAAGGCCACAUGAACCUUGACAUUUCAGGGAAGUCUUUACUAAAUGACAUUUAUGUAUCUCUUUAUUUGAACUUAGUUGUCAUUAUAAAAAAGGAGUCAUAAUCGUAUGUUUUAAUAAUGACAAAUACACUUAUUGAAUAACCACUUGAUGCAGGAAAGGAAUGAUAUACAUAGCAUAAACUCUAAAUCUAGAGGAUUGCAGGAAUUAAGCAAAUCAUGAGCAAAUCCAGUUAAGAAAGGAAAGUGAAUAUUCGAUCAAUUAGAUCAAAAUUCAAAGCUUGCAAUAAUUAAAGGAAGACACACAAAGAAGUUUUCUCAAGUAAAUCAAGAAGGACAAAAUAAUCAAAUCAAAGUGAAAUCAAAGAAGAAAUAUCGAAACAGAAGUCAAGAUCAAAAUUAGGAGAAAUCAAGUCAAGUGACGAUGAUAAAGCUAAGACUCAAGACAUCUAACAAUUAAAGAAUUGAUUUGUCAUGCACAUAUUGAUAUGGAGAUGACUAAGCAAAUCAAUUUCAAAUGAAUCAAGGGAAUAAAGGAUAAGAUCAAUGAUCCUUGAUUCAAACAUCCUUGGGUUUUUGACAAGAUCAUCCUAUAUAAACCUACUCGACCUUUAGUGUGAUGCACACAACUUCACUUGAACUUAUCUAUAAUCUUUUUUCAUAUUUGAUAAGCGUUUUGUACACGAGAGUGAACAAUUGUAAAAGAAAGAGAGAAGAAAAUAUUAUGAGAGCAUGUGAUACAAGUAGAGCCAGUAUCCCCAAAAUAGAAGUUCUGAUUUAAAUAUCAAACAAGAUUCUAUGUCUACACCUUCUGUACAAUCAAGUUUGUUCGAAGCUCUUAAAAAAACCUUUGAAACCCAAUUGGAUUGGACUAGGAACCACAUGGUGAUCCAAAACAGUAUAAAAUUUUGUGUUAAUUUACUUUCAA